UACGUAGGGUGCAAGCGUUGUCCGGAAUUAUUGGGCGUAAAGAGCUCGUAGGCGGUCUGUUGCGUCGGCUGUGAAAACCCGGGGCUCAACCCCGGGCCUGCAGCCGAUACGAGCAGACUAGAGUUCGGCAGGGGAGACUGGAAUUCCUGGUGUAGCGGUGAAAUGCGCAGAUAUCGGGAAGAACACCCGUGGCGAAGGCGGUUCUCUGGGACGGUACUGACGCUGAGACGCGAAAGCGUGGGGAGCGAACAGG
Molecule: ribosomal RNA, 253 nt
Filed under: uncultured bacterium
Lineage: Bacteria
Description: partial 16S ribosomal RNA
Rfam family: Bacterial small subunit ribosomal RNA
Source: RNAcentral